CCAGACUCCUACGGGAGGCAGCAGUGAGGAAUAUUGGUCAAUGGCCGGAAGGCUGAACCAGCCAUGCCGCGUGAAGGUCAGUGCCCUAUGGGCGUUAAACUUCUUUUGUGCGGGAGCAAUAAUGGUCACGUGUGGCCAGACGAGAGUACCGUACGAAUAAGCAUCGGCUAACUCCGUGCCAGCAGCCGCGGUAAUACGGGGGAUGCAAGCGUUAUCCGGAUUUAUUGGGUUUAAAGGGUGCGUAGGCGGACUGUUAAGUCAGCGGUAAGAGCCCGGGGCUCACCCCCGGCGAGCCGUUGAAACUGGCUGUCUUGAGAUGUCGAGAGGUAUGCGGAAUGCGCAGUGUAGCGGUGAAAUGCUUAGAUAUUGCGCAGAACUCCGAUUGCGAAGGCAGCAUACCGGCGGCGAUCUGACGCUGAGGCACGAAAGCGUGGGUAUCGAACAGGAUUAGAUACCCUAGUAC
Molecule: ribosomal RNA, 463 nt
Filed under: uncultured bacterium
Lineage: Bacteria
Description: bacterial SSU rRNA
Rfam family: Bacterial small subunit ribosomal RNA
Source: RNAcentral